This 510-nucleotide ribosomal RNA is filed under the name uncultured bacterium. RNAcentral describes it as "partial 16S ribosomal RNA". It matches the Rfam family "Bacterial small subunit ribosomal RNA", at positions 28 to 507 of the family's 1533-position model. The record is from RNAcentral.
GACGAACGCUGGCGGCGUGCUUAACACAUGCAAGUCGAACGAAGAGCGACGGAAGCUUGCUUCUAUCACUCUUAGUGGCGCACGGGUGAGUAACGCGUAAUCAACCUGCCCUUCAGAGGGGGACAACAGUUGGAAACGACUGCUAAUACCGCAUACGAUCUAACCUCGGCAUCGAGGAUAGAUGAAAGGUGGCCUCUACAUGUAAGCUAUCACUGAAGGAGGGGAUUGCGUCUGAUUAGCUAGUUGGAGGGGUAACGGCCCACCAAGGCGAUGAUCAGUAGCCGGUCUGAGAGGAUGAACGGCCACAUUGGGACUGAGACACGGCCCAGACCCCUACGGGAGGCAGCAGUGGGGAAUCUUCCGCAAUGGACGAAAGUCUGACGGAGCAACGCCGCGUGAGUGAUGACGGCCUUCGGGUUGUAAAGCUCUGUUAAUCGGGACGAAAGGCCUUCUUGCGAAUAGUGAGAAGGAUUGACGGUACCGGAAUAGAAAGCCACGGCUAACUACGUG